RNAcentral lists this ribosomal RNA (463 nucleotides) under uncultured bacterium. RNAcentral's name for it is "partial 16S ribosomal RNA". It matches the Rfam family "Bacterial small subunit ribosomal RNA", at positions 28 to 507 of the family's 1533-position model. The record is from RNAcentral.
GACGAACGCUGGCGGCGUGCUUAACACAUGCAAGUCGAACGGAGAGGCCUUUUCGGAGGUACUCGAGUGGCGAACGGGUGAGUAACACGUGGGUGAUCUGCCCUGCACUCUGGGAUAAGCCUGGGAAACUGGGUCUAAUACCGGAUAGGACCGCACUUUAGUGUGUGUGGUGGAAAGUUUUUUCGGUGUAGGAUGAGCCCGCGGCCUAUCAGCUUGUUGGUGGGGUAAUGGCCUACCAAGGCGGCGACGGGUAGCCGGACUGAGAGGUUGGUCGGCCACAUUGGGACUGAGAUACGGCCCAGACUCCUACGGGAGGCGGCAGUGGGGAAUAUUGCACAAUGGGCGCAAGCCUGAUGCAGCGACGCCGCGUGGGGGAUGACGGCCUUCGGGUUGUAAACUCCUUUCGCCAGGGACGAAGCGUUUUGUGACGGUACCUGGAGAAGAAGCACCGGCUAACUACGUG